UACGGGGGGGGCAAGCGUUGUUCGGAAUUACUGGGCGUAAAGGGCUCGUAGGUGGCCAACUAAGUCAGACGUGAAAUCCCUCGGCUUAACCGGGGAACUGCGUCUGAUACUGGAUGGCUUGAGUUUGGGAGAGGGAUGCGGAAUUCCAGGUGUAGCGGUGAAAUGCGUAGAUAUCUGGAGGAACACCGGUGGCGAAGGCGGCAUCCUGGACCGAGAUUGACGCUGAGGCGCGAAAGCCAGGGGAGCAAACGGG
Molecule: ribosomal RNA, 253 nt
Filed under: uncultured bacterium
Lineage: Bacteria
Description: partial 16S ribosomal RNA
Rfam family: Bacterial small subunit ribosomal RNA
Source: RNAcentral